This 958-nucleotide ribosomal RNA is filed under the name Platycerus delicatulus delicatulus. RNAcentral describes it as "partial 16S ribosomal RNA". The stretch from base 415 to 614 matches the Rfam family "Archaeal large subunit ribosomal RNA", at positions 1797 to 2106 of the family's 2987-position model. Lineage: Eukaryota; Metazoa; Arthropoda; Insecta; Coleoptera; Lucanidae. The record is from RNAcentral.
AUAUUUUCUCGAAUCUAAAGGAGUUAAGAGUCUAUUAAUUUUUAUGUAAAAUAAUAAUUUUAAAUAGAUUUUUGGUAGUGAAACGUUAUUCGUUUUUAGUUUUAUCUAGUUUAUUAAGAAAUAAAUUAAAUUUAUUCGUCAAAUUUUUAAAAUUUUUAGUUUUUAAUUUUUUAAAAUUUACGUUAAAGCUUUUAAGGGAUAAGCUUUAAAAGUUAGUUUUAUAAGAAUGAAUUUAUACAAUAAUUUUUAGGAUUGGAAGUGUCCAUAAAUAGGUUAGUGUUAUUACAUUUUAUUGUUUAUAUAGAUUUUAUAAUUUUUUAAUUUCUUUAUUAAUAUGUUAUAUUAAAUUAAAAUUUAUAAGUAAUUAUGAUUAAAUUAGUAUAAAUUGUUGUAAAAUAAAUUAUAAUUUUAAGAUUAAAUUAAGGAAUUCGGCAAAUCUAUUUUCUGCCUGUUUAUUAAAAACAUGUCUUUUUGUAAUUAUUUAAAGUCGGGCCUGCCCCAUGAUUAUUUAAAUGGCCGCGGUAUUUUGACCGUGCAAAGGUAGCAUAAUAAUUAGUUUCUUAAUUAGAAGCUUGUAUGAAGGGUUUGACAAGAAAAUUUCUGUCUCAAUUUAAAUAUUAGAAUUUAACUUUUAAGUUAAAAGGCUUAAAUUUUUUUAAAAGACGAGAAGACCCUAUAGAAUUUUACUUUUAAUUUAUUUAAAAUUUUAUGGUUUAUUUAUUUUUAAUUGAAUUAUUUGUUUUGUUGGGGUGAUGGAAAAACUAAAAUAACUUUUUCUUAUUUUAUUCAUUAAUUUAUGAUUGUUUGAUCCAAAUUUUUUGAUUACAAGAACAAAUUACCUUAGGGAUAACAGCGUUAUUAUUUUAGAGAGUUCAUAUCGAUAAAAUAGUUUGCGACCUCGAUGUUGGAUUAAAAUUAAUUAUAGGUGUAGCAGCUUAUAUGUUGGGUCUGUUCGACC